AAUGAACGCUGGCGGCAGGCCUAACACAUGCAAGUCGAGCGGAUGAAGGGAGCUUGCUCCUGGAUUCAGCGGCGGACGGGUGAGUAAUGCCUAGGAAUCUGCCUGGUAGUGGGGGAUAACGUCCGGAAACGGGCGCUAAUACCGCAUACGUCCUGAGGGAGAAAGUGGGGGAUCUUCGGACCUCACGCUAUCAGAUGAGCCUAGGUCGGAUUAGCUAGUUGGUGGGGUAAAGGCCUACCAAGGCGACGAUCCGUAACUGGUCUGAGAGGAUGAUCAGUCACACUGGAACUGAGAAACGGUCCAGACUCCUACGGGAGGCAGAAGUGGGGAAUAUUGGACAAUGGGCGAAAGCCUGAUCCAGCCAUGCCGCGUGUGUGAAGAAGGUCUUCGGAUUGUAAAGCACUUUAAGUUGGGAGGAAGGGCAGUAAGUUAAUACCUUGCUGUUUUGACGUUACCAACAGAAUAAGCACCGGCUAACUUCGUG
This 484-nucleotide ribosomal RNA is filed under the name uncultured bacterium. RNAcentral describes it as "partial 16S ribosomal RNA". It matches the Rfam family "Bacterial small subunit ribosomal RNA", at positions 29 to 507 of the family's 1533-position model. The record is from RNAcentral.